GCAGCAGAUUUAACUUUCUGCCACCGAAUACAUUAGCAUGGGAUAAUGGAAUAGGACCCUGUCCUCCUAUUUUCAGUUGGUUUUUGAGGACCAGGGUAAUGAUUAAUAGGGAUAGUUGGGGGCAUUAAUAUUUAAUUGUCAGAGGUGAAAUUCUUGGAUUUAUGAAAGAUUAACUUCUGCGAAAGCAUCUGCCAAGGAUGUUUUCAUUAAUCAAGAACGAAAGUUAGGGGAUCGAAGACGAUCAGAUACCGUCGUAGUCUUAACCAUAAACGAUGCCGACCAGCGAUUAGGAGACGUUGAAUACAAAACACCACCAUCAGACGGCGGAGCAUCUUCACGCAAGUGAGGGUGGUUCGUUUCUCUGGUGGCCCGGUGAAUGACUCCCUAGCCCUUUGGUGAGAAAGUCGCGAUUACCGAGAAUCCUACGCCAACUCUCUCGGGGGUGACCGGCCCAGAUACUCGGCUGACCAUCCUCCACCACCGCGACAUGGUCGGCCUCGUGCUGGCUGACGCCUUGGGUGAUUGUACCUACACUCAUGCUCUCGAUCUCGCCGCUGGUGUGCACACGCUCACCGCUUCCAACCACUUCGGCGAGAGAUCGUUCCAGCUCACCAUCGAAGAGGCGGAGACGAACCCGCCGGUGCGUUCCGGUAUCGACUCGGUGGUCGACAACGUUGGCACCCAGCAAGGUGCUCUGGGCAUGUUCGAAACCACGGACGACGCACGCCCCACGCUUUCCGGCUCCGGAACGCCCUUCACCACUGUCACCAUCUACGACAACGGCGCGGCCAUCGGCCAGGCCUUCGUCGGCCAGGACGGUCGCUGGAGCUGGGAACCUGCUGCCGAUCUGAUCAACGGUCAGCACAACUUCCGGGUGGCUGCGCCCGGCGAGCUGCCCAGCGAGGCGUUCACGGUAAACGAACCUGGGCCA
This 931-nucleotide ribosomal RNA is filed under the name Acanthamoeba sp. Its description in RNAcentral is "partial small subunit ribosomal RNA". The stretch from base 1 to 355 matches the Rfam family "Eukaryotic small subunit ribosomal RNA", at positions 777 to 1114 of the family's 1831-position model. The record is from RNAcentral. Lineage: Eukaryota; Discosea; Longamoebia; Acanthamoebidae.